This is a long non-coding RNA of Cyprinus carpio carpio, 1804 nucleotides long. Lineage: Eukaryota; Metazoa; Chordata; Actinopteri; Cypriniformes; Cyprinidae. The record is from Ensembl.
AUGUCACAUGGAUUAUUUAAUGUCUUUACUAUGUUUCUGAGCCUUGUUCUUGGUAGGAUCCUUGCUGUCUAUGGGAGGGUCAGAAAGCUCUUGGAUUUCAUCAAAAAUAUCUUAAUUUGUGUUCCGAAGAUGAACGAGGGUCUUACAGGUUUGGAACGACAUGAGGAAACAGCAUUAUGCCAUCGCUCCGUCAAAAGGCAGCGUCAGCUCCGUAUGCCUCAGCGCUCCACAGAUCUGCAGACGCCAUCAAUACAAGCCAAACUGGCAGGAAAAUGGGCCGAGCGCUUCUGAAGACUAUAAACCAGCGCUUGGAAAGACUCACACAGUUUGAUUAGACUGCAGGACGUGGACAUAAAUUGACAUACUUCAUUCGCCUCGAGUUGGAUUUUGUUCACUCUGGUUUAUAACCGUAGAGAGGAAAUUGCAUCUGCCCGUCAUAAACAGCAAUAUCUCAUUGCUCCAUCUCACUCAUGUGUCACGUGAGUGCUGCGCUGCUUACCAUUAGCAUUUUAUUGCCACUGCAAAGCAUUGCCGGUCUGACGGCUCUGCAGUCGUUUAUGCAGGCCACAGCAUCGAGUCCCAGCGUUCCCCGCUGAGGAGGCAUAAAUCCAGAUUAGAGUGCGGGAUGGGGGGAGGAAAUCAGAGCGAGGAAAUCCCUGGCAGGAGGAUCCCAGCUCAGCACUUUCUCUCUUCAUGAGCUCUCACCUCCACAGCGGUCACUGCAGCAGGAGAGUCACUCGAAGUGUCAGCAGUGUCUCCAGCUGUCUGCUUGACUUGUUUUGUCCUCUGUCAGCAGAAGGCAUAACUGUCAUCUCACUCAGACUUCCUCUUUGAGCACUGACAGUCAUCUUACAUCCACAACCUCACAUUGGGUCACAUAGAACUGAGAAGUAGAAUACACUGUGAAAAGAAGAUUAGUGAAGUACAUUUUACAAGAAAAUACUAAUUCAGUCUUUCUACUCCAGGAUUUCUGUGUUAGCUGCCAUUUCUUUGUAAUUAUUUGUGAAAUUUACUAGCAAUUUCUGAGUGAAAAGUAGUUUUUUUACUAUGUAUUAAUAGCUUUUAAUUUAAUUUAAUUUAAUUUAAUUUAAUUUUCUGACAUUCUUUUAACAUAAGUUUAAAAAAAAUCAAAAUUUACUUUAAUAUAUCGUUCCAAACCGUGAGAUUCUUCUUUGGCCAAGCAUGCAAAACAUUUAUUUUAUGAACAAUAAACAAAGUUUGGGGGUCAGUAUUGUUCUUUUCUUUUACGAAAUUAAUUUUAUUCAGCUGGGAUGCAUUGAAAUGAUCAAAAGUGACUGUAAAAACAUUUAUAAUACUACAAAAAAAAAAUUAUAUUUCAAAUAAACGCUGCUCAUAUAAACUUUCUAUAUAAUAAAGAUUAAUGAAAAAUAUAUUACAGUUUCCACAGAAAUAUUAAGCAGCACAACUGUUUUUAACUCUUUAAUAAUAAAAAAUGUUUCUUGAGCACCAAAUGAUUUCUGAAGGAUCAUGUGACACUGAAGACUGGAGUAAUGAUGCUGAAAAUUCAGCUUUACAUCACAGGAAUAAAUGACAUUUUAAAAUAUAUUCAAAAAGAAAAUAGUUAAUUUUAAUUGUAAUACACACACACACACACACACACACACACACACACACACAUCACGAUUAAUCGCAUCCAAAAUAAAAGUUUUUGUUUACACAAUAUUUCUGUGUGUACUGUGUAUAUUUAUUAUGUAUAUAUAAAGACACACACAGUAUAUAUUUUGAAAAUAUUUACAUGUAUUUACAUGUAUAUACUUAUAUUCAGAUAAUUUAUAUAAUAUAG